This is a non-coding RNA of Maylandia zebra (zebra mbuna), 978 nucleotides long. Lineage: Eukaryota; Metazoa; Chordata; Actinopteri; Cichliformes; Cichlidae. The record is from RefSeq and is a predicted model, not a curated record.
AUGCGGCGGCACUUUGAAAAAAUCUCCUCUUUUACGUUUCGGGAGAGAAAACAAGUAACUCACCUCUCGCAACACAUCCCAACGCUCCUCAUUCAUUGAUCAAAGAUGCACAAAGGUUUGUUGCGCCAUAUCCAGGGAAAAUCUCUGUGGCGUUCCGCAAGAGGCCACUUGGAUACCUCGUCAAAAGAAGCUCGACGGAUUAAAAAUGACCCCAAGCUUCAGGACAAGUCUGCACCUGUGAGGGAAGACGAUGCUCUGACUGUCAUCUAUCAGAGAGGAGGCGAUGCCUCCAACAUGAAGGAAGUGCAGGGAGAGUACAUCCUGCAGUUUGGAAAGUAUAAAGGGAAAUCUUUCCGGUGGCUUCUGGAGAAUGAUGUCGGGUACACCAUGUACCUGAUCAAAGAUCUCAGGAAAGAAGUGGAUGCAGGGACCUCUUUGGAAGAAGGGCAUGGCAAGGAGAGCUUGCAUUCAUUUGUACAGUAUACCCUCAGCUUUGCAGAGAUAAAAGCUCUUCUGGACUAUGAGGCCAGCAGAGUGAGUGUUGCUGCAGAAGCCUCUGAGGAUGAUCAGCUGGUUGGCUUUGGCUCAUGAGCCAAGAGCACCUGGAAGGAGAUUUGGGACGGCAGAGGUGACGGCUAUGCAGACCUUAUCAUGAGGAAGAGCUGCAGUCAAGGAACACGGAUGCAUAAGCUGCAGCAGUCUGCGCCUGCUUCCACAAAUGCUCCAACUAAACCCCUGGGGAUGGAUGAGGAUAAAGACCUGGAGGACGCAAUGCUGAGCAUGUCACCUGUAAAACUACACAUGCAGAGCUUCACUGUGCCAGCAGCAGCAGGGUCCACACCCAGAGGAGCUUCAGGAGCAAACACAGGUUUUCAAAUGAAAGGUUUCAGAACUGGAGUACAAUUGUUUUACAUAAUAAUAAUGGAUUGGAUUUAUAUAGCGCUUUUCAAGGCACCCAAAGCACUUUACAAUGCCACU